GAUGAACGCUGGCGGCGUGCUUAACACAUGCAAGUCGAACGAUGAAGCCCAGCUUGCUGGGUGGAUUAGUGGCGAACGGGUGAGUAACACGUGAGUAACCUGCCCUUAACUCUGGGAUAAGCCUGGGAAACUGGGUCUAAUACCGGAUAGGAGCGCCUACCGCAUGGUGGGUGUUGGAAAGAUUUAUCGGUUUUGGAUGGACUCGCGGCCUAUCAGCUUGUUGGUGAGGUAAUGGCUCACCAAGGCGACGACGGGUAGCCGGCCUGAGAGGGUGACCGGCCACACUGGGACUGAGACACGGCCCAGACUCCUACGGGAGGCAGCAGUGGGGAAUAUUGCACAAUGGGCGAAAGCCUGAUGCAGCGACGCCGCGCGAGGGAUGACGGCCUUCGGGUUGUAAACCUCUUUCAGUAGGGAAGAAGCGAAAGUGACGGUACCUGCAGAAGAAGCACCGGCUAACUACGUG
RNAcentral lists this ribosomal RNA (466 nucleotides) under uncultured bacterium. RNAcentral's name for it is "partial 16S ribosomal RNA". It matches the Rfam family "Bacterial small subunit ribosomal RNA", at positions 28 to 507 of the family's 1533-position model. The record is from RNAcentral.